CGGCGCACGGGUGCGUAACGCGUAUGCAAUCUACCUUAAUCAGGGGGAUAGCCUCUCGAAAGAGAGAUUAAUACCGCAUAACAUUAUGAUAUGGCAUCAUAUUAUAAUCAAACAUUUAUGGGAUUAAGAUGAGCAUGCGUGACAUUAGCUAGUUGGUGAGGUAACGGCUCACCAAGGCGACGAUGUCUAGGGGAUCUGAGAGGAUGACCCCCCACACUGGUACUGAGACACGGACCAGACUCCUACGGGAGGCAGCAGUAAGGAAUAUUGGUCAAUGGGCGCAAGCCUGAACCAGCCAUGCCGCGUGCAGGAAGACUGCCCUAUGGGUUGUAAACUGCUUUUAUACGGGAAUAAACCUCGGUACGUGUACGAGCUGAAUGUACCGUAAGAAUAAGGAUCGGCUAACUCCGUGCCAGCAGCCGCGGUAAUACGGAGGAUCCAAGCGUUAUCCGGAUUUAUUGGGUUUAAAGGGUGCGUAGGCGGCUUUUUAAGUCAGGGGUGAAAGACGGUGGCUCAACCAUCGCAGUGCCCUUGAUACUGAAGAGCUUGAAUACACUAGAGGUAGGCGGAAUGAGACAAGUAGCGGUGAAAUGCAUAGAUAUGUCUCAGAACACCAAUUGCGAAGGCAGCUUACUAUGGUGUUAUUGACGCUGAGGCACGAAAGCGUGGGGAUCAAACAGGAUUAGAUACCCUGGUAGUCCACGCCCUAAACGAUGAAUACUCGAUGUUAGCGAUAAACAGUUAGCGUCUAAGCGAAAGCGUUAAGUAUUCCACCUGGGGAGUACGCCCGCAAGGGUGAAA
This 801-nucleotide ribosomal RNA is filed under the name uncultured bacterium. RNAcentral describes it as "bacterial SSU rRNA". It matches the Rfam family "Bacterial small subunit ribosomal RNA", at positions 96 to 899 of the family's 1533-position model. The record is from RNAcentral.